This 903-nucleotide ribosomal RNA is filed under the name Pediococcus pentosaceus. RNAcentral's name for it is "bacterial SSU rRNA". It matches the Rfam family "Bacterial small subunit ribosomal RNA", at positions 43 to 901 of the family's 1533-position model. The record is from RNAcentral. Lineage: Bacteria; Bacillati; Bacillota; Bacilli; Lactobacillales; Lactobacillaceae.
CUCCCAGCUAAUAAUGCAAGUCGACGAACUUCCGUUAAUUGAUUAUGACGUACUUGUACUGAUUGAGAUUUUAACACGAAGUGAGUGGCGAACGGGUGAGUAACACGUGGGUAACCUGCCCAGAAGUAGGGGAUAACACCUGGAAACAGAUGCUAAUACCGUAUAACAGAGAAAACCGCAUGGUUUUCUUUUAAAAGAUGGCUCUGCUAUCACUUCUGGAUGGACCCGCGGCGUAUUAGCUAGUUGGUGAGGUAAAGGCUCACCAAGGCAGUGAUACGUAGCCGACCUGAGAGGGUAAUCGGCCACAUUGGGACUGAGACACGGCCCAGACUCCUACGGGAGGCAGCAGUAGGGAAUCUUCCACAAUGGACGCAAGUCUGAUGGAGCAACGCCGCGUGAGUGAAGAAGGGUUUCGGCUCGUAAAGCUCUGUUGUUAAAGAAGAACGUGGGUAAGAGUAACUGUUUACCCAGUGACGGUAUUUAACCAGAAAGCCACGGCUAACUACGUGCCAGCAGCCGCGGUAAUACGUAGGUGGCAAGCGUUAUCCGGAUUUAUUGGGCGUAAAGCGAGCGCAGGCGGUCUUUUAAGUCUAAUGUGAAAGCCUUCGGCUCAACCGAAGAAGUGCAUUGGAAACUGGGAGACUUGAGUGCAGAAGAGGACAGUGGAACUCCAUGUGUAGCGGUGAAAUGCGUAGAUAUAUGGAAGAACACCAGUGGCGAAGGCGGCUGUCUGGUCUGCAACUGACGCUGAGGCUCGAAAGCAUGGGUAGCGAACAGGAUUAGAUACCCUGGUAGUCCAUGCCGUAAACGAUGAUUACUAAGUGUUGGAAGGUUUCCGCCCUUCAGUGCUGCAGCUAACGCAUUAAGUAAUCCGCCUGGGGAGUACGACCGCAGGUUGAAACU